Non-coding RNA from Cinara cedri, 245 nucleotides. The record is from the annotation of a GenBank genome assembly. NCBI's taxonomy places the organism in Eukaryota, Metazoa, Arthropoda, Insecta, Hemiptera, Aphididae.
AAACUUUUUUUCGUUUUCUUACGGUUCUUAUGGUAUAGAAAUACCACUAUAAGUCGUCCGUUGAAUAUUCUAUACGCAGAAGUAUGGAACACCACGAAUGUCCCCGUUGAUAACUAAACGGAUCAUUAUGCGUACCUGCCGGGUUCAACUUUAAGAAGACUCCUUAGGGUGUGGCGAUUCUGUAUCUAACCGUUGAAUUCCGCACGGCGAGUGCCGGCCGCCGAAUGGCGACCCGCAGAUUUCCA